Molecule: ribosomal RNA, 253 nt
Filed under: uncultured bacterium
Lineage: Bacteria
Description: partial 16S ribosomal RNA
Rfam family: Bacterial small subunit ribosomal RNA
Source: RNAcentral
UACAGAGGUCUCAAGCGCUGUUCGGAUUCAUUGGGCGUAAAGGGUGCGUAGGCGGCGCGGUAAGUCGGGUGUGAAAUCUUGGAGCUUAACUCCGAAACUGCAUUCGAUACUGCCGUGCUUGAGGACUGGAGAGGAGACUGGAAUUUACGGUGUAGCGGUGAAAUUCGUAGAUAUCGAGAGGAACACCGGUGGCGAAGGCGGCCUUCUGGACAGUGACUGACGCUGAGACGCGAAAGCGUGGGGAGCAAACAGG